RNAcentral lists this ribosomal RNA (447 nucleotides) under uncultured bacterium. RNAcentral's name for it is "bacterial SSU rRNA". It matches the Rfam family "Bacterial small subunit ribosomal RNA", at positions 352 to 794 of the family's 1533-position model. The record is from RNAcentral.
UGAGGGAAUAUUUGGGUCAAUGGGGCGGGGAGCCUGAACCAGCCAAGUCGCGUGAGGGAGGAAGGUCCUACGGAUUGUAAACCUCUUUAGCCGGGGAGCAACGUGCGCCACGUGUGGCGCAGUGAGAGUACCCGGAGAAUAAGCACCGGCAAACUCCGUGCCAGCAGCCGCGGUAAUACGGAGGGUGCGAGCGUUAAUCGGAAUGACUGGGCGUAAAGGGCACGCAGGUGGCGAGAUAAGUUGGAUGUGAAAUUCCCGUGCUUAACAUGGGGACUGCAUCCAAAACUGUUGAACUGGGGUACUGUAGAGGGAGGUAGAAUUCCACGUGUAGCGGUGAAAUGCGUAGAGAUGUGGAAGAAUACCAGAGGCGAAGGCGGCCUCCUGGGCAGAUACUGACACUGAGGUGCGAAAGCGUGGGUAGCAAACAGGAUUAGAUACCCUGGUAGU